UCUCCUCCUCUUCUCAAGAUCGACGACUCCUGUUCCUCCUCUCCCGUGCUCGAUCUCAAUCCCCACGCAUCUUCUUUCAGCAUGGGUAGCCUCUCCACACAUCCGCCCCUGCCCCAGUUGCAGGUAUUCCUCCAGACGAUGACGUCGGUGCCAAAGGGCCCCACAUCCCAACUGGAAGGCAGAUCCCUAGACCCAGAUCCCCUCCCUUUGUAGUCCAGGAUGAGGCCCUGGAUUCCAUUGCCCAGGAGGAUCCGGCGGUUGAGGUGGAGUAGGAGGUCUCGGUAGUGUGGAGGAGGUCUGGGAGUACGUGGAGCCGUCGGAGGAGGCCAUGGUGUACGUGUGCGACCUUCCCUACGACGUCAACAACAAGCGCCUUGCAGCUCUCCGAUCAGGUCAGCAUCGUCAAGGUUGACGAGUGAGCAACUCUUCCUCUUAGACCAUCUUCAAUGUUGGGUUCUAGCAAAAGGUACUGGGAUUUGUUGACCAUCUUCAAUGCUGGAUGGUAGCAAAAGGUGCUAGGAUUUGUUUCCCAGUCGAUCGGCAGUUGAGCCUCAUAGAUGGAUGCAUCAAGCGCAGGUAGAGUACUGAAGGCCAGCGUCGUUGAGGUUACCGUGGUGAGAAGCACUUCCUCUUAGACCAUCUUAGUGCUAGAUGAUAGCAUAAGGUGGUAUGAUUAGUUUCACAGUGAAUAUGUGGCAUCGACAACAAAAGAUACAUCAAGCGCUUGGGUAUAUUCCUCCGCAUGAGGUAAAAUACUGAACUUGUUUUCAAUCUAUAAUUAGCACCCAUACUUAGCACCAAGUGGUGAAAUAGAGGACGCUUAGAUGGUUUUAAAUUUUAUGGUAUUUAUUUUCUCUAUCUCUGAGCGUCUACACAGCCGACCCACAUUAUAGAUGAUGUUAGCUUGCUGCCAAUGUCAUUCCUCUGUAGACACACGCGCAUUUUGCCUUGUGAAGGGAAUGCCUCUAAUCAUCGGACCCUUGAUAAUGUGUCAUAUUCUUGCAAGACUGAAACCGGCACAUUCGGUUCUAGAUGUAAAUGAUGUCUGAUUUAAUGUGGUGGUUGUGUUGUUGAAGCACAACUGAAGUGGCACAUUGACUUCUACACAUGCAUCAACAACCUCCAAAACUUCAGAAAGCAAAGAGUUGGAGAACCAUCCUCUAGGAUCUCCUGUACGACCAAAGAUUAUUUUGCUUCCAAAACUACUUAUAAACGCAUCAAGUUUUAAGUGCAAUUCCACACCGAGAUGUUGUUAUUCAUGUUGUGAUGAUACUAUAUCAGCUUCAAAAUUUAUUUUACUCACAAGUAGUCCAUAAAUAUGUGAACCUGAAUACUCAAACCAUUGUAGGGGGAGGAUUUCCACAGUAUCCAUAGGCUGGUUAACCUGUUUGGAAUUGAACUCCCUGAAUUGACGUUAAGCUUGGCAACUACAGAAUACAUUGUCUUGAGGUAUAAUAGCCCUUGAUUCUCUAACAGUCACUAUUGCAUGAAUUGUAGCAAGGUGAGCCCAAAAUCUCUCUUGUGAAUCACAUUGCUUCCAAUGAUUUCAUGACUGAGUUCUCGGGAUUUAAGAUUUUGUAUUUUCUUGUUUAUUUUCUUUUCUUUUGGAGGAGAACAAGAUGCAGCUUGUAAAUAUGUGACUUUCCAAGUUUAGCUGAAUAAACAAAUAAAUCCUCUGUAAGUUGAUGUAUAGAAAAGUGGAUCCUUGCAUAGGUUUUGUAUUAUAUAUAUUUAACUCGGCAUAGUUAACAUUUUUUUCAUCUUUCUCCGAGAGCUUUUCAGAUAUCAUCUACACCUCAGACAAGUAAUAUUAACUUGCUAAAAGUAAGAAAGGUAACACAAGGUUUGCAAGUUUGACAAAGCUUUCCCUUAGUUCUUGAAUGUAGCUAUUUUUCUUUUUCUUUUUAGUCAAAUUGUUGUAGCCAUGGAGACAAAAACAUUACUUUCAGAUUGUUUCUAGCUGUGACGUUUGUCAAAAUUGAAUAGAAGAAAUAGCGUGCAGUGUCAAAGUUGGAUAGAAGAAACAACGCGCAGUGGCACGCAAAGUGGGUUUGUAAAAUAAGUGACAACGCCAAUUUAUUUCUCCCGGUGUAACACACGGCCAUGUGUGCUACAUAAAAGGGAGGAGGAAGUAUGUUCAUGCAUUGCAAGCUUUACUGAGUCAUGAUGCACAUUGAGAAGUUAGUGGUGUGUUCAUCUUUUCUUUUGAAAUAAUUGUUGAAUAAUGGAAAAAGGGCGCUACCGUUGGGGUGAAACCCAUCGUAUUUCUAAUGGUAUACAACCAAAAUCAGGGUGAGACCAGAUGUUAUACUGAAAAUUUCAGGUUAUUGAGCACAAUUUUGUUUCUAUUGCAAUGUAUGUGUAUGUUUGGCAUGCAAUGAUGAUAUCUAAUUGCA
Molecule: long non-coding RNA, 2396 nt
Organism: Triticum aestivum (bread wheat)
Lineage: Eukaryota; Viridiplantae; Streptophyta; Magnoliopsida; Poales; Poaceae
Exons: 2
Source: RefSeq, a predicted model, not a curated record